UCAGACGAUGCGUCAUGCAUAUCAAUAAGCGGAGGAAAAGAAACUAACAAGGAUUUCCCUAGUAACGGCGAGUGAAGCGGGAAGAGCUCAAAUUUGAAAUCUUAAAGGGUUUCCCUUUACGAAUUGUAGUUUAAAGAAGUGUUUUCUGUUGAGGUUUUGGUAAAAGUUCUUUGGAAUAGGACAUCAUAGAGGGUGAGAAUCCCGUAUUUGACCUUUACUUUCAACUUUGUGAUACACUUUCAAAGAGUCGGAUUGUUUGGGAAUGCAGUCCAAAAUGGGUGGUAAAUUUCAUCUAAAGCUAAAUAUUGGCGAGAGACCGAUAGCGAACAAGUACCGUGAGGGAAAGAUGAAAAGAACUUUGAAAAGAGAGUUAAACAGUACGUGAAAUUGUCAAAAGGGAAGCGUUUGACACCAUGUGUUGUUUUUCUGAAAAUCAAUUAAAGAACUGUUUAUGCUAAGUUGUUUAGACUUUAUCAGCUAACUGUUUAGUUUUGAGCUUUUCUUUAAUGCACUUUUCAGUUAACAAGUCAACAUCAAUUUCUUUUGCUGUAAAAAAGCUUGAGGAAGGUGGCUUGAGAUUCGUCUUAAGUGUUUAUAGCCUCUUGCCUAUGCAGUCGGAGAGAUUGAGGUCUGCAGCGUAGAUCCUUCGGGGCUAAAUGCAUUUGUGCUAAGUUAUAGCAUUUUAUAGACAACUUGUUGACUAUGAUUUGUCUUGUAGCUUACUCGCUUAUGUUAUUUUACCUACGCUUAGGAUGUUGAAUCUGUGCGAGACUAC
RNAcentral lists this ribosomal RNA (775 nucleotides) under uncultured Neocallimastigales. Its description in RNAcentral is "partial large subunit ribosomal RNA". It matches the Rfam family "Eukaryotic large subunit ribosomal RNA", at positions 18 to 644 of the family's 3401-position model. The record is from RNAcentral. Lineage: Eukaryota; Fungi; Neocallimastigomycota; Neocallimastigomycetes; Neocallimastigales.